Molecule: ribosomal RNA, 686 nt
Filed under: uncultured bacterium
Lineage: Bacteria
Description: bacterial SSU rRNA
Rfam family: Bacterial small subunit ribosomal RNA
Source: RNAcentral
UCGAUUAGUUUGAUCCUGGCUCAGGAUGAACGCUAGCGGCAGGCCUAAUACAUGCAAGUCGAACGGUUGUUAGCAAUAGCAAUAGUGGCGCACGGGUGCGUAACACGUAACUAACCUACCUAUAACUGGGGGAUAGCCCGCCGAAAGGCGGAUUAAUACCGCAUAAGCUGUUUGCCUGGCAUCAGGUGAUUAGUAAAGAUUUAUUGGUUAUAGAUGGGGUUGCGGGUCAUUAGCUAGUUGGUUGGGUAACGGCUGACCAAGGCGACGAUGACUAGGGGAGCUGAGAGGCUGGUCCCCCACACGGGCACUGAGAUACGGGCCCGACUCCUACGGGAGGCAGCAGUAGGGAAUAUUGGGCAAUGGGCGAGAGCCUGACCCAGCCAUGCCGCGUGCAGGAAGAAGGCUUUCUGAGUCGUAAACUGCUUUUGACAGGGAAGAAUAAGCCUUACGUGUAGGGUGAUGACGGUACCUGCAGAAUAAGCACCGGCUAACUCCGUGCCAGCAGCCGCGGUAAUACGGAGGGUGCGAGCGUUGUCCGGAUUUAUUGGGUUUAAAGGGUGCGUAGGCGGCCGUUUAAGUCUGGGGUGAAAGCCCGCUGCUCAACAGCGGAACUGCCCUGGAUACUGGAUGGCUUGAGUACAGACGAGGUUGGCGGAAUGGACUGAGUAGCGGUGAAAUGCAUAGAU